This 266-nucleotide ribosomal RNA is filed under the name uncultured bacterium. Its description in RNAcentral is "partial 16S ribosomal RNA". It matches the Rfam family "Bacterial small subunit ribosomal RNA", at positions 333 to 610 of the family's 1533-position model. The record is from RNAcentral.
GAGUUCCUACCGGGGGCAGCAGUCGAGAAUCAUUCACAAUGGGGGAAACCCUGAUGGUGCGACGCCGCGUGGGGGAAUGAAGGUCUUCGGAUUGUAAACCCCUGUCAUGUGGGAGCAAAUUAAAAAGAUAGUACCACAAGAGGAAGAGCCGGCUAACUCUGUGCCACCAGCCGCGGUAAUACAGAGGUCUCAAGCGUUGUUCGGAAUCACUGGGCGUAAAGCGUGCGUAGGCUGUUUCGUAAGUCGUGUGUGAAAAGCGCGGGCUC